AGGCAAGUAAAUGUACAGUAAGGAUAAAGAUUAGUUUAUGGUCUCAAUGGCUUCUCAAAGUAAAAGCCUCAUGUUAUCAGAGCAAGGCAGAAUUAGUUGACCAAAUUCUUCAAAACAAGCAACUUUUUUUCCCUCAGAGGGAGGAAAGAAAAAGAUAGAAGGAGCAACUUUUCUGAUUUUUGAUGAUUGUCUGAUUGUGAGUGCUAUCAUUUUUCUCAUAUCAGGGCAUUCAAUUGCAAGCAAUGAACCAAGAUAUAAAGCACUGGGUUAUUGCACUGUGAGACAAUCUUCCAAAAAGGAAAAAAAAAUAGGAGAUAAUUAUAUCUGAAGCUGGAUUUCACCUAAUAUAACACUUCUUGAUCCAAAACAACAAAUUAGAAAAACAAAUCAGCACUACCCACAAAACCCUGAUAACCUGUAUCGAUUUUCCUAUUGGGAUUAUCCAAUUUUAAUGUUAUAAGCACACACAUAUAGAAGAGCACCCAUGGAAUUCAUGGUUAUUCAACAACAGAAGGCCAGAGGAAUAAAAUUAGAAGCAGAAAUUGAGAGCCAGCAAAUAUAUUGUGAUUAAAAUAAUUAAACAGUAUCAUCACAGCUCGAAAUGUCAAGAUAAGGGUUUGAUAACUUCUUGAUUAUCAAAACCUAACACACACCCACAAACAUGUAAGUGAUACCACCAGGCAUAUAAUCAUCCAUCCAACACAAAGACAUGAUCAUCAAGAGAAAUUUAUAUGAUAUGAAUGUUGGUAUUUGAGGUUUUAGAAGACAAACCUGAGCUAGGAUAUAACAGAAACAAAGAGAACAGAUAGUACUGAGCUUUUAUAAAAGAG
Molecule: unclassified non-coding RNA, 830 nt
Filed under: Hevea brasiliensis (rubber tree)
Lineage: Eukaryota; Viridiplantae; Streptophyta; Magnoliopsida; Malpighiales; Euphorbiaceae
Source: RNAcentral